AGGGUUUGAUCAUGGCUCAGGAUGAACGCUGGCGGCGUGCUUAACACAUGCAAGUCGAACGAACCUUCGGGUUAGUGGCGGACGGGUGAGUAACGCGUGAGAAUCUGCCCUCAGGAGGGGGAUAACGGUUGGAAACGACCGCUAAUACCCCAUAUGCCUACUGGUGAAAUGAAUUUCGCCUGAGGAUGAGCUCGCGUCUGAUUAGCUAGUUGGUGAGGUAAUGGCUCACCAAGGCUUCGAUCAGUAGCUGGUCUGAGAGGAUGAUCAGCCACACUGGGACUGAGACACGGCCCAGACUCCUACGGGAGGCAGCAGUGGGGAAUUUUCCGCAAUGGGCGAAAGCCUGACGGAGCAACGCCGCGUGAGGGACGAAGGCCUCUGGGCUGUAAACCUCUUUUCUCAAGGAAGAAGAUAUGACGGUACUUGAGGAAUAAGCCACGGCUAAUUCCGUGCCAGCAGCCGCGGUAAUACGGGAGUGGCAAGCGUUAUCCGGAAUUAUUGGGCGUAAAGCGUCCGCAGGCGGCUUUUCAAGUCUGCUGUUAAAGCGUGGAGCUUAACUCCAUCAUGGCAGUGGAAACUGAAAGGCUUGAGUAUGGUAGGGGCAGAGGGAAUUCCCGGUGUAGCGGUGAAAUGCGUAGAUAUCGGGAAGAACACCAGUGGCGAAGGCGCUCUGCUGGGCCAUUACUGACGCUCAUGGACGAAAGCCAGGGGAGCGAAAGGGAUUAGAUACCCCUGUAGUCCUGGCCGUAAACGAUGAACACUAGGUGUCGGGGGAAUCGACCCCUUCGGUGUCGUAGCUAACGCGUUAAGUGUUCCGCCUGGGGAGUACGCACGCAAGUGUGAAACUCAAAGGAAUUGACGGGGGCCCGCACAAGCGGUGGAGUAUGUGGUUUAAUUCGAUGCAACGCGAAGAACCUUACCAGGGUUUGACAUCCUGCGAACCUCUUAGAAAUUUGAGGGUGCCUUCGGGAAUGCAGUGACAGGUGGUGCAUGGCUGUCGUCAGCUCGUGUCGUGAGAUGUUGGGUUAAGUCCCGCAACGAGCGCAACCCACGUUUUUAGUUGCCAGCAUUUAGUUGGGCACUCUGAAAGAACUGCCAGUGAUAAGCUGGAGGAAGGUGGGGAUGACGUCAAGUCCUCAUGGCCCUUACGUGUUGGGCUACACACGUGCUACAAUGGUAUCUACAACAGGAAGCAAAACGGCGACGUUAAGCAAAUCCUUAAAAGAUACCUCAGUUCGGAUUGUACUCUGCAACUCGAGUACAUGAAGCUGGAAUUACUAGUAAUCGUGGAUCAGCGUGCCACGGUGAAUGCGUUCCCGGGUCUUGUACACACCGCCCGUCACACCAUGGGAGUUGG
This 1357-nucleotide ribosomal RNA is filed under the name uncultured bacterium. Its description in RNAcentral is "partial 16S ribosomal RNA". It matches the Rfam family "Bacterial small subunit ribosomal RNA". The record is from RNAcentral.